AGAUUGAACGCUGGCGGCAGGCUUAACACAUGCAAGUCGAGCGGUAGCAGACCUUCGGGUGCUGACGAGCGGCGGACGGGUGAGUAAUGCAUAGGAAUCUGCCUGGUAGUGGGGGGAUAGCCCGGGGAAACCGGAUUAAUACCGCAUACGCCCUACGGGGGAAAGGAUGGGAUCUUCGGACCAUUCGCUAUCAGAUGAGCCUAUGUCGGAUUAGCUAGUUGGUGGGGUAAAGGCCUACCAAGGCGACGAUCCGUAACUGGUCUGAGAGGAUGAUCAGUCACACUGGAACUGAGACACGGUCCAGACUCCUACGGGAGGCAGCAGUGGGGAAUAUUGGACAAUGGGGGCAACCCGUGAAUCCGAGCCAGUCGACCGCGUGUAUGAAGAAGGCCUUAGGGUUGUAAAGUUACUU
RNAcentral lists this ribosomal RNA (412 nucleotides) under uncultured soil bacterium. Its description in RNAcentral is "bacterial SSU rRNA". It matches the Rfam family "Bacterial small subunit ribosomal RNA", at positions 26 to 435 of the family's 1533-position model. The record is from RNAcentral.